UUCUUCCACUCGAGGCGGACCAGACAAGGACGUUUCUUUUUAAAAGGGAAACGCCGGAAGUUAAGUGUUUUAUCUCAUUUAAGUUAUAUGCAUUUCACAACAUCAUAUUGAUUUAUAGCGAUAUUUGUGUGGUGUACACAAACUUUUUCUCAGAGAGAUAUUUUUCUUCACUCAUGAUGCGGAGAAGACGGGCAAAUUGGUUUUAUCAUGGAAAACACCGAAAAUGCAUUUGAAUGGCUAUGCAUUGUCAUGGAAGUCGCUUUUAACAGGGGAAACAUAAGAAAGAGACAUUUUCUUUCACUGGAGAUGCGGAGCAGACGGGGAAGUUGGUCUUCUCCAGGAAAACACUGAAUGGUUCAUGCUGGUUUAACAGAAAAAUCGAAAGGAGAUGAUGUGCUUGAAGAGUAUGAAGCCACCAAUACAUUAAGUGGGAUGAGAAGAGCUUUGUUAGGACACAUACCAGAGACAUGGGAGCACUUUUGUGAUGCUGCAAGUGGGAGUUGGGUAUCUUGCUUGGCUGAAAACUGCAGAGAAACACAUCUCGUCUUGCUGAAAACUACUCUUUACAAGGAGGUCCAAACACCAUUAGCAGAGACUUUGUUCAGUGAGCAUUAACAUGCAUUCUGCCUGGAUGCUAAUGAAUGGGAUGCUGUUGUCUAAACUGAUAAAUGUAAGCGUUAUAAACCUCAUGACAUUAAGUGUACAUAUGGACCAAAUAAGAAUAUGUAUUUUCACUGAUUUGCUUUGACAUUAUGAUGUUUUAAUUGUUGUAAGAACAUGUUCUUUACAUGCAUUGAAUGUGAAAACAUUUUUCUCAGGGAAAAAGAUUUACAAUGUUUCAAUUAAAAAUUGUAAAAGUG
Long non-coding RNA from Onychostoma macrolepis, 860 nucleotides. RefSeq lists it as uncharacterized. Lineage: Eukaryota; Metazoa; Chordata; Actinopteri; Cypriniformes; Cyprinidae. The transcript has 5 exons. The record is from RefSeq and is a predicted model, not a curated record.